This 394-nucleotide long non-coding RNA is filed under the name Carica papaya (papaya). RNAcentral describes it as "long non-coding RNA (CPAP_LNC010782)". Lineage: Eukaryota; Viridiplantae; Streptophyta; Magnoliopsida; Brassicales; Caricaceae. The record is from RNAcentral.
AAGGGAGUUUCCACUACUAGUGUUUUUCCUAAAGCUUCUUAUAUAAAUUCUAGGUUACAAGAAAAUGAACAAGAAAUAAAAUAGUGAGUUACACCAGUAUUGAUCAAAGUCUUGGAAGGAGUAUUAUGAAUAGAAAGCAUACCUUAUAUGAGAACAGGAGCAAGAAGGACUUCAGAUUUAUUUAAGUUGACACUCGACCUUGUGCAAUGGGUCAGGCUACAUCCUUCGGUCGCUGAAGAAAAGUCUUUUAUAAGGUGUUGGGUGCUUCUACACCGAUGGUAGGGAAGAAGUUAUCAAAGAAAGCAACCAUGAAAACUUCCCAAGUAAUAGGGGUAGGCAGGACUUCUUUCUUAAGUCGCCACAGUGCUCGGUCUCACCGUUUAACAUGAAGGCU